AGCAGCCGCGGUAAUUCCAGCUCCAAUAGCGUAUAUUAAAGUUGUUGCCGUUAAAAAGCUCGUAGUUGAACCUUGGGCCUGGCUGACCUGUCCUCCUAAUCGAGCGCACGGGCUCGGCCGGGCCUUUCCUUCUGGAGAACCCGGUGCCCUUUAUUGGGCGCCGCGGGGAAUCAGGACUUUUACCUUGAAUAAAUUAGAUCGCUUAAAGAAGGCUCUUGCUUGAAUAUUCUAGCAUGGUAUAAUAGAAUAGGACGUGUGGUUCUAUUUUGUUGGUUUCUAGGACCGCCGUAAUGAUUAAUAGGGACAGUCGGGGGCAUCAGUAUUCAAUUGUCAGAGGUGAAAUUCUUGGAUUUAUUGAAGACUAACUACUGCGAAAGCAUUUGCCAAGGAUGUUUUCAUUAAUCAGGAACGAAAGUUAGGGGAUCGAAGACGAUCAGAUACCGUCGUAGUCUUAACCAUAAACUAUGCCGACUAGGGAUCGGACGGGAUUCUAUGAUGACCCG
Molecule: ribosomal RNA, 503 nt
Filed under: uncultured Coniochaeta
Lineage: Eukaryota; Fungi; Ascomycota; Sordariomycetes; Coniochaetales
Description: SSU rRNA
Rfam family: Eukaryotic small subunit ribosomal RNA
Source: RNAcentral